UACGUAGGGUGCGAGCGUUGUCCGGAAUUAUUGGGCGUAAAGAGCUCGUAGGCGGUUUGUCGCGUCGGCCGUGAAAACUUGGGGCUUAACCCCAAGCCUGCGGUCGAUACGGGCAGACUUGAGUUCGGCAGGGGAGACUGGAAUUCCUGGUGUAGCGGUGAAAUGCGCAGAUAUCAGGAGGAACACCGGUGGCGAAGGCGGGUCUCUGGGCAUUAACUGACGCUGAGGAGCGAAAGCAUGGGGAGCGAACAGG
This 253-nucleotide ribosomal RNA is filed under the name uncultured bacterium. Its description in RNAcentral is "partial 16S ribosomal RNA". It matches the Rfam family "Bacterial small subunit ribosomal RNA", at positions 524 to 776 of the family's 1533-position model. The record is from RNAcentral.